UACAGAGGGUGCGAGCGUUAAUCGGAAUUACUGGGCGUAAAGCGCGCGUAGGCGGCUUUGCAAGUCGGGUGUGAAAUCCCCAGGCUUAACCUGGGAACUGCAUUCGAGACUGCAUUGCUAGAGUAUGGGAGAGGGAAGUGGAAUUUCCGGUGUAGCGGUGAAAUGCGUAGAUAUCGGAAGGAACAUCAGUGGCGAAAGCGACUCCUGGACCAAUACUGACGCUCAUGUGCGAAAGCG
Molecule: ribosomal RNA, 237 nt
Filed under: uncultured bacterium
Lineage: Bacteria
Description: partial 16S ribosomal RNA
Rfam family: Bacterial small subunit ribosomal RNA
Source: RNAcentral